ACGUUUAUGGUAAAAUAUGUCAGGAAAUCCGAGAAAACGGCCAAAUCAAAUUUAUAAUAUAUUUCCAAUCAAUAGCACAUCGUUCGUUACCGAGAUACGCUCAGCUUUUCUAGGUAGGCAACGAUAUAAUGAAGCACCGACCAAAUGCAUCGCUCAUCAACAUUAUAGUAUAGUUGGAUGUUCAUAACAUAAAAAAUAGCAUAAAGUUAUAGAUAUUUACUAAAUAGCUUAAUGUAAGGCCGCAAUAGGAAAAUAAUUUCCAGGACGGGGAGUUGUUAGUUAUAAA
This is a non-coding RNA of Cinara cedri, 286 nucleotides long. Lineage: Eukaryota; Metazoa; Arthropoda; Insecta; Hemiptera; Aphididae. The record is from the annotation of a GenBank genome assembly.